GGGUGAGCGAUUAUCGGGAAUUACUGGGCGUAAGCGUGUGUAGGCGGUUCGGAAAGAAAGAUGUGAAAUCCCAGGGCUCAACCUUGGAACUGCAUUUUUAACUGCCGAGCUAGAGUAUGUCAGAGGGGGGUAGAAUUCCACGUGUAGCAGUGAAAUGCGUAGAUAUGUGGAGGAAUACCGAUGGCGAAGGCAGCCCCCUGGGAUAAUACUGACGCUCAGACACGAAAGCGUGGGGAGCAAACAGGAUUAGAUACCCUGGUAGUCCACGCCCUAAACGAUGUCAACUAGCUGUUGGGGCCGUUAGGCCUUAGUAGCGCAGCUAACGCGUGAAGUUGACCGCCUGGGGAGUACGGUCGCAAGAUUAAAACUCAAAGGAAUUGACGGGGACCCGCACAAGCGGUGGAUGAUGUGGAUUAAUUCGAUGCAACGCGAAAAACCUUACCUACCCUUGACAUGUCUGGAAAGCCGAAGAGAUUUGGCCGUGCUCGCAAGAGAACCGGAACACAGGUGCUGCAUGGCUGUCGUCAGCUCGUGUCGUGAGAUGUUGGGUUAAGUCCCGCAACGAGCGCAACCCUUGUCAUUAGUUGCUACGCAAGAGCACUCUAAUGAGACUGCCGGUGACAAACCGGAGGAAGGUGGGGAUGACGUCAAGUCCUCAUGGCCCUUAUGGGUAGGGCUUCACACGUCAUACAAUGGUCGGGACAGAGGGUCGCCAACCCGCGAGGGGGAGCCAAUCUCAGAAACCCGAUCGUAGUCCGGAUCGCAGUCUGCAACUCGACUGCGUGAAGUCGGAAUCGCUAGUAAUCGCGGAUCAGAAUGUCGCGGUGAAUACGUUCCCGGGUCUUGUACACACCGCCCGUCACACCAUGGGGAGUGGGUUUCACCAGAAGUAGGUAGCCUAACCGUAAGGAGGGCGCUUACCACGGUGGGAUUCAUGACUGGGGUGACUAACAAGAAACCCCCCACAGACACACAAAAAAAAGAGGGCGGAGGGGGGG
RNAcentral lists this ribosomal RNA (998 nucleotides) under Alcaligenes sp. 2AH. Its description in RNAcentral is "bacterial SSU rRNA". It matches the Rfam family "Bacterial small subunit ribosomal RNA", at positions 532 to 1533 of the family's 1533-position model. Lineage: Bacteria; Pseudomonadati; Pseudomonadota; Betaproteobacteria; Burkholderiales; Alcaligenaceae. The record is from RNAcentral.